CAGUAGCCGCGGUAAUACGAAGGGGGCUAGCGUUGCUCGGAAUCACUGGGCGUAAAGGGUGCGUAGGCGGGUCUUUAAGUCAGGGGUGAAAUCCUGGAGCUCAACUCCAGAACUGCCUUUGAUACUGAAGAUCUUGAGUUCGGGAGAGGUGAGUGGAACUGCGAGUGUAGAGGUGAAAUUCGUAGAUAUUCGCAAGAACACCAGUGGCGAAGGCGGCUCACUGGCCCGAUACUGACGCUGAGGCACGAAAGCGUGGGGAGCAAACAGGAUUAGAGACCCCCGUAGUCCCUGUCUCUUAUAU
This 301-nucleotide ribosomal RNA is filed under the name uncultured bacterium. Its description in RNAcentral is "partial 16S ribosomal RNA". It matches the Rfam family "Bacterial small subunit ribosomal RNA", at positions 509 to 809 of the family's 1533-position model. The record is from RNAcentral.